AACGAACGCUGGCGGCAUGCCUAACACAUGCAAGUCGAACGAGACCUUCGGGUCUAGUGGCGCACGGGUGCGUAACGCGUGGGAACCUGCCCUUAGGUUCGGAAUAACUCCCCGAAAGGGGUGCUAAUACCGGAUAAUGUCUUCGGACCAAAGAUUUAUCGCCUUUGGAUGGGCCCGCGUUGGAUUAGCUAGUUGGUAGGGUAAAAGCCUACCAAGGCGACGAUCCAUAGCUGGUCUGAGAGGAUGAUCAGCCACACUGGGACUGAGACACGGCCCAGACUCCUACGGGAGGAAGCAGUGGGGAAUAUUGGACAAUGGGAGAAAGCCUAAUCCAGCAAUGCCGCGUGAGUGAUGAAGGCCUUAGGGUUGUAAAGCUCUUUUAACCGGGAUGAUAAUGACAGUACCGGGAGAAUAAGCUCCGGCUAACUCCGUG
RNAcentral lists this ribosomal RNA (433 nucleotides) under uncultured bacterium. RNAcentral describes it as "partial 16S ribosomal RNA". It matches the Rfam family "Bacterial small subunit ribosomal RNA", at positions 29 to 507 of the family's 1533-position model. The record is from RNAcentral.